Cryptotermes secundus is the source of this 328-nucleotide long non-coding RNA. RefSeq lists it as uncharacterized. NCBI's taxonomy places the organism in Eukaryota, Metazoa, Arthropoda, Insecta, Blattodea, Kalotermitidae. The transcript has 3 exons. The record is from RefSeq and is a predicted model, not a curated record.
CGAGUAGUCGUCAGUGCGUAGAAGAAAGACUUCGGUAGGUUGGAGGAAACGUACACGGCAACAUCGAGCUUGGACCGAAAAUCGAACUGCCGUGUGAUGGUAGCAGCUCCUAUGGAUCACAGUGGAACAGCGGGUGAUGGUCCUGUGAACGAGAGGGUUGUCAAGACAGCGAGAUGCGUCUACACGUUGCAGAAUACUUUGAAUGUAAAUAUGGAUACCACCCAACUUCUUAUCCAGUGGGUAUCUGGAGUAACCGAGUGGUUAAAGUGGCCGGGGCAUGAAGCAGACCACUCACGUCCAUGUAGUGAGGAAGUCAGCUGUACUUUCA